This 28-nucleotide non-coding RNA is filed under the name Mus musculus (house mouse). The record is from RNAcentral. Lineage: Eukaryota; Metazoa; Chordata; Mammalia; Rodentia; Muridae.
GCAACUUACGAAAGGAAGAAUGUGUCUG